This 440-nucleotide ribosomal RNA is filed under the name uncultured bacterium. RNAcentral's name for it is "partial 16S ribosomal RNA". It matches the Rfam family "Bacterial small subunit ribosomal RNA", at positions 338 to 795 of the family's 1533-position model. The record is from RNAcentral.
CCUACGGGUGGCAGCAGUGGGGGAUAUUGGACAAUGGGGGAAACCCUGAUGCAGCGACGCCGCGUGAGUGAAGAAGGAUUUCGGUAUGUAAAGCUCUAUCAGCAGUGAAGAAAAUGACAGUACCUGACCAAGAAGCUCCGGCUAACUACGUGCCAGCAGCCGCGGUAAUACGUAGGGGGCAAGCGUUGUCCGGAUUUACUGGGUGUAAAGGGAGCGUAGACGGGUAUGUAAGUCUGGAGUGAAAGCCCGGGGCCCAACCCCUGGACUGCUUUGGAAACUGUGUAACUGGAGUGCAGGAGGGGUAGGCGGAAUUCCUGGUGUAGCGGUGAAAUGCGUAGAUAUCAGGAGGAACACCAGUGGCGAAGGCGGCCUGCUGGACUGAAACUGACGUUGAGGCUCGAAAGCGUGGGGAGCAAACAGGAUUAGAUACCCGGGUAGUC